This 189-nucleotide small RNA is filed under the name Jaculus jaculus (lesser Egyptian jerboa). RNAcentral's name for it is "7SK RNA (ENSJJAG00000005463.1)". It matches the Rfam family "7SK RNA", at positions 51 to 295 of the family's 331-position model. Rfam says of the family: 7SK was discovered as an abundant small nuclear RNA in the mid-70s but a possible function has only recently been suggested. The record is from RNAcentral. Lineage: Eukaryota; Metazoa; Chordata; Mammalia; Rodentia; Dipodidae.
GGUGGUGAAAGCCUGGCUGGUACACAGGUAUCCCCUUCUCCCUUGCCGCUCCAUGUGUGUCCCUCCCGAAGCUGUGCACUUGGUUGAAGAAGACGACCUUCCCUGAGUAGAGAAGGGCCAGUCUUCAGUCAAACCAACCCUGGCAAUCAAUAGGAUGACAGAUGUCACAGCCGGAUUGCCCUCACAUCC